RNAcentral lists this ribosomal RNA (265 nucleotides) under uncultured archaeon. RNAcentral's name for it is "partial 16S ribosomal RNA". It matches the Rfam family "Archaeal small subunit ribosomal RNA", at positions 717 to 982 of the family's 1478-position model. The record is from RNAcentral.
ACACGACUACAUUAGAUACCCCUGUAGUCCUAGCCGUAAACGAUACUCGCUAGGUGUCGGCCACGGUGCGACCGUUGUCGGUGCCGUAGGGAAGCCGUGAAGCGAGCCACCUGGGAAGUACGGCCGCAAGGCUGAAACUUAAAGGAAUUGGCGGGGGAGCACCACAACGGGUGGAGCUUGCGGUUUAAUUGGAUUCAACGCCGGAAAUCUUACCGGGACCGACAGCAACAUGAAGGCCAGGCUGAAGACUUUGCCGGAUUGGCUG